AGAGUUUGAUCAUGGCUCAGAACGAACGCUGGCGGCAGGCUUAACACAUGCAAGUCGAACGGUCUCUUCGGAGGCAGUGGCAGACGGGUGAGUAACGCGUGGGAAUCUACCUAGUUCUACGGAACAACAGAGGGAAACUUCUGCUAAUACCGUAUACGCCCUACGGGGGAAAGAUUUAUCGGAAUUAGAUGAGCCCGCGUAAGAUUAGCUAGUUGGUGGGGUAAUGGCCUACCAAGGCGACGAUCUUUAGCUGGUCUGAGAGGAUGAUCAGCCACACUGGGACUGAGAUACGGCCCAGACUCCUACGGGAGGCAGCAGUGGGGAAUAUUGGACAAUGGGCGCAAGCCUGAUCCAGCAAUGCCGCGUGAGUGAAGAAGGCCUUAGGGUUGUAAAGCUCUUUCGCACGCGACGAUGAUGACGGUAGCGUGAGAAGAAGCCCCGGCUAACUCCGUGCCAGCCGCCGCGGUAAUUC
This 472-nucleotide ribosomal RNA is filed under the name uncultured bacterium. RNAcentral describes it as "bacterial SSU rRNA". It matches the Rfam family "Bacterial small subunit ribosomal RNA", at positions 8 to 526 of the family's 1533-position model. The record is from RNAcentral.